Molecule: unclassified non-coding RNA, 951 nt
Filed under: Hevea brasiliensis (rubber tree)
Lineage: Eukaryota; Viridiplantae; Streptophyta; Magnoliopsida; Malpighiales; Euphorbiaceae
Source: RNAcentral
CCAAACUUCAAGUUCAUAAAACCACUGCCUAAUCUUUACAAACACUGGAGUAAACGUUACUCAAAGCGAAAAGGGAAACCAGAAUCGAAAGGAAUCAAACUGCAUUAUUCACCCAUAGUUGCUAACUUCCCAGCAAACCAAGCAAAGAGCUUUCCCCACAUCAAAAUGAACCCACCCAAAUAAACAGAGACCAAAAGGAAAAAAAGAACAAAGACGACCAAUCAGAGCAACAAACCCACUAAGAAUUUACCCAGUUCCUACCCAAAUCCUUCUCAGAAUUCAGAACCUUUCGACCUUGUCGGCCUUCACCACAGGAUUGGCCGUGGCGAUCUCCUCCCGCCCAAUACUUUUGAAGUCGUAACAACAGUCGUGUUUCUCUGGGUACCGGUGAAUUCCACAGAAGGUUCGCUCGCACUUGCACUUGAAGCCCAUCAAUCCCACCUUCUUAUUGCAGCUCCGGCACCGGUUUGGAACAUCCGGUGACGGGGAUUUGUUGGAACUGCGGAGGGAGAUUCCAGUGGAAGAUGACGGUGAAGCUGAAUCCACUGUUGAAUCGGAGAAGACAACUGGAGAACUACCUUCAGCCGGCUUUAAAAUUUUGGACUGAAGGGAUUUCUCCAUCGCUGCUUUUGCUGAAGCCGCUUGCUCUUCUUUGAUUCGAGAGUCUCUGUAGCACUUCGAGCAGAGAUUCUCAGUACCGGCUGAACCAAAGAAGCCGCAGUUGUUCGCGCAGAGCUUUGGCUCCGAUGGCUGGUAGCUUGUGCCAUCGUUCUGCUCCGAACCCAUAGUUUUCGAACUCGUUUGGACUAAUUAGCUCUUAAGCCAGUAGAAGAUCGAAGGAACUCAAAACUCCAAAACCCUCCCUCUAGGAUACAAAUUAAAAUCAGGAAUUAGAAUAUAAUCAAAGAUUCAGAAAACCCUCAGGGCGAAUGAAGGAAAAGAGAAAGAAAG